Long non-coding RNA from Strigops habroptila (Kakapo), 1400 nucleotides. RefSeq lists it as uncharacterized. The transcript has 2 exons. The record is from RefSeq and is a predicted model, not a curated record. NCBI's taxonomy places the organism in Eukaryota, Metazoa, Chordata, Aves, Psittaciformes, Psittacidae.
GGGGACGCAGCUCGCGUUCAUCGUCGCCCGGCCCGCCCUCGCUGCCCGGGUCCUGCCCCCGCUGCCUCCCUGGUGGGCUCGGCGGGGCGCUUCCGCUCACCGUGGCUCCGGCUCCGUCAGGUUGUCAGCAAAGGGACCAGGCACCUUCACCAACAUGGAAAGGGCGUCCUAACAGUGCCACAGGUACUUUCAUCGCAUUAAGAGGGUUCCCCCCACCCCGCCCCCAUGAAGGCAAAGCCUGUACUGGGAUUUCUGGAUCAGUGCUCUCAGGCAUUUCAGAAGGUAUUUUAAAACUGUUUGCAACCCAGGCAAAACUGAAGAGUGAGAAUAACACCAAAACUAGUGCACACGGCUGGCCCUCUUGUCACCACACACCAGCCCUGCGUGCCCUAUACACCAUUAGGAGUCGUGCUGCCAUCGCUUGCUGGCCUUUAAAUUUUCAACCUCAAUUCAAAACCCCAGAGCAGGGGAAGGACUCACACAGAUUUCAGCAGGCUUUGGACCCUAGACUCUUGGAACAAGUUUCAAAUUCCAGCAGCCUUUUGUUUAUCCAAGGAAGAUAAACCAAGUGGCCUGCUGAAUACUGCAUGAGUUUUCAGACAAGAUCUGGAAAACAGCAGGUCUUUGCUCAGAAGGGACAUUAAACAUCCUGUGACACUUUCCAUGAGAACAAAUGAAAAAAUCAGAUCUUUUCUUAUCCUUCCCAAACACUGUCGCCAGGCAAGAGCUGCUUGGUUCCUGUCUUUCACCCAGGACCUUGGUGCCUGUCAGUGCUGUUGUAAAGAGCAAGUGCAAAGCUCCUGGGAGCACAAAAGGAGAGGGUGGCAGAGAGGUGUUUGUGAUACUGCUCUUCCAGGCUAAGUUCAAAACCUUUCAGUGUAAGGAUGUAUACACAAUUUUGGUAAGCAUGGCAGCUUCAGGGUGGAUUAUUAAUUGGAAAAGACUUUCCUUACCAGGUGACAGAGCUACUCGAUACAGGACAAUGGCAUGAGCAGCUGUGAAAGACUGGCCUGAAGUGCUUCCCCUUCCUUCUGCACACUCUGGGGUGAAGCUGCACACUGGGGAGCCCAAAUCAGCUGCAUACAUCUUCCCCAGAGCAAGCACUCCCCUUCCUGCAGUGUGGCAGCUCACAGCAGCUGUAGAGAAAACGGGGACUGCAGGACUAUGCAUGCUGCUCCUCUAGAACUGCUAUAACCAAGAUAUGACAGGAAUACAUCCCCUCACCUGGAGUGCCUGACCAGGCAAAGACAACACAGCCAUCAAGGGGACUGUUUUGGAUUGGUCCCGACAGAAUCAAGAAUAAUACCUUUACACUCUCUUGCACUUUCCAAACCACAAAAAUAAUCAGGAACUGUAACACUGUAGAAUUUAAGAGGUAAAAUAAAGGCUUUGACAGUUUG